GUUCCCUUAGUUAAAUGGAUAUAACAACUUCCUCCUAAGAAGUCGUUGUAGGUUCGAUUCCUACAGGGGACA
RNAcentral lists this transfer RNA (72 nucleotides) under Streptococcus marimammalium. RNAcentral describes it as "tRNA-Arg". It matches the Rfam family "tRNA". From Rfam's summary of the family: Transfer RNA (tRNA) molecules are approximately 80 nucleotides in length. RNAcentral also lists the same sequence under 3 other names. Lineage: Bacteria; Bacillati; Bacillota; Bacilli; Lactobacillales; Streptococcaceae. The record is from RNAcentral.